RNAcentral lists this long non-coding RNA (1400 nucleotides) under Marmota monax (woodchuck). Lineage: Eukaryota; Metazoa; Chordata; Mammalia; Rodentia; Sciuridae. The record is from RNAcentral.
ACACACCACGCGCGCAUGCAUGUCCGAGCUAUUCCAUCCCCAGCAGCAAAAUGUGGGAGGAAAAAAAAAAAUUGUCAGAAUGAGUAGAGCAAAGUUUCAGGAAAUAAAACCAGCAUGCAAAAAUCAGUCGCAUUUGUUCCCUGCCUGGCCUCCGCCUCCGCCCCCGCCUUGGCCUCCACUUCCCUCUGCUGGGCGAUGGCCGCAAUUGCCCCUCCCUGGUUGGGUUAGCCGCUGCAGAGGCGCUGUGGCCACCGCCCAGCGCGGGAGACGGGAUCCGAAAGAAAUAAACCAGAAUGAGUUAUGUAGAAGAGCCUGAUGAAAUCAGGAAAGAUGAGUGGAUGGAAAAGCUCAACAACUGACACAUCCAGCGGGCCGACAUGAAUCGCCUCAUCAUUAACUACUUGGUCACAGAUGGCUUUAAGGAAGCAGCAGAGAACUGUCGCCUAGAAUCUGGGAUUGAACCCAGUGUGGAUCCGGAUACUCUUGAUGAGAGAAUCAGUAUUCAGGAGUUGAUUCCGGAGGCCACCGCAUUGAUUAACAGUCCCUGUCCGGAGCUCUUGGACACAAACCGUUAACAGCAACAGCGUGUAAUUGAGCUGUUCCGCUAGAGACAGAUCUAGGCGAGCUAGAGGAGAGAGCAGGGGGCAAGGAGAGCAGUGUGCCUUAGGAAGAUGGAGCGCAUGCAGACCCUGCUGGCCUUCUAUAGCCCUGAGGAGGAGUCAAGCUUCGGAGAACUCCUUCAAAAGCAAAAGGUUUGGAGUGAGGUUAAACAAGCUUUUCUAGAUUAUGAAAAUCGCAGGUCAACACCCAAGAUGGCAAAAUUACAGAAACUGUUAUUUUGGGCUCAGAAUGUGCUGGGCCAGAAGAAAAUAAAAUAUCCCAAAAUUAUAGACCUUAGCAAAGGUGUGAUCCAGGAGCCCAAGGAGAGCCUUGCAAGCCAACCCCGCACUGUCCCACGCACCGAACCCACCUUCCUUCCACGGAAACCAAAGACUUCCACUGCAGCAGGAACAUUUUUCCCCUCUUGUAGAUUUCUUUGUUUGUUUGUUUGUUUGACUCAGCAUCUUUCUUAAAAGGAAAAUGGCCCUUUUAAAUGCUGGAAGCUCCACGGUGAAGGGCGCCUUCUGGGAAGGCUGUCUGUCCCUGCACUUGGUGUGUCCUGAGGACCUCCACACCUUGGGUCACAGUCUGGGAGCUCCUGUGUCUGGCUGCCAUAGGGGCUGGGUUCCUAGGGCUGCUGUUAUAACCAGGCCUCCCUGGAGGGACAAAAAAAGCACCCAUCACUUACUUUCUGCUGGCUUGUAGGCAGACAAUCCCUUUGUUAAUUUUCCUAAGUCUUCCUUCAACUUCCAGUUUUUCCUCACACCAUGUUUUUCAUUUGUUUUCGUUUUGUUUUUUUC